GACGAACGCUGGCGGCGUGCUUAACACAUGCAAGUCGAACGGAAAGGCCCUGCUUUUGUGGGGUGCUCGAGUGGCGAACGGGUGAGUAACACGUGAGUAACCUGCCCUUGACUUUGGGAUAACUUCAGGAAACUGGGGCUAAUACCGGAUAGGAGCUCCUGCUGCAUGGUGGGGGUUGGAAAGUUUCGGCGGUUGGGGAUGGACUCGCGGCUUAUCAGCUUGUUGGUGGGGUAGUGGCUUACCAAGGCUUUGACGGGUAGCCGGCCUGAGAGGGUGACCGGCCACAGUGGGACUGAGAUACGGCCCAGACUCCUACGGGAGGCAGCAGUGGGGAAUAUUGCACGAUGGGCGGAAGCCUGAUGCAGCAACGCCGCGGGCGGGAUGACGGCCUUCGGGUUGUAAACCUCUUUCGCCUGUGACGAAGCGUGAGUGACGGUAAUGGGUAAAGAAGCACCGGCUAACUACGUG
Molecule: ribosomal RNA, 468 nt
Filed under: uncultured bacterium
Lineage: Bacteria
Description: partial 16S ribosomal RNA
Rfam family: Bacterial small subunit ribosomal RNA
Source: RNAcentral